GAUGAACGCUGGCGGCGUGCCUAAUACAUGCAAGUCGAGCGAACGGACGAGAAGCUUGCUUCUCUGAUGUUAGCGGCGGACGGGUGAGUAACACGUGGAUAACCUACCUAUAAGACUGGGAUAACUUCGGGAAACCGGAGCUAAUACCGGAUAAUAUUUUGAACCGCAUGGUUCAAAAGUGAAGGACGGUCUUGCUGUCACUUAUAGAUGGAUCCGCGCUGUAUUAGCUAGUUGGUAAGGUAACGGCUUACCAAGGCAACGAUGCAUAGCCGACCUGAGAGGGUGAUCGGCCACACUGGAACUGAGACACGGUCCAGACUCCUACGGGAGGCAGCAGUAGGGAAUCUUCCGCAAUGGGCGAAAGCCUGACGGAGCAACGCCGCGUGAGUGAUGAAGGUCUUCGGAUCGUAAAACUCUGUUAUUAGGGAAGAACAUAUGUGUAAGUAACUGUGCACAUCUUGACGGUACCUAAUCAGAAAGCCACGGCUAACUACGUG
Molecule: ribosomal RNA, 497 nt
Filed under: uncultured bacterium
Lineage: Bacteria
Description: partial 16S ribosomal RNA
Rfam family: Bacterial small subunit ribosomal RNA
Source: RNAcentral